This 930-nucleotide ribosomal RNA is filed under the name Cudoniella clavus. RNAcentral describes it as "eukaryotic LSU rRNA". It matches the Rfam family "Eukaryotic large subunit ribosomal RNA", at positions 30 to 977 of the family's 3401-position model. The record is from RNAcentral. Lineage: Eukaryota; Fungi; Ascomycota; Leotiomycetes; Helotiales; Helotiaceae. RNAcentral also lists the same sequence under 1 other name.
GAACUUAAGCAUAUCAAUAAGCGGAGGAAAAGAAACCAACAGGGAUUACCUCAGUAACGGCGAGUGAAGCGGUAACAGCUCAAAUUUGAAAUCUGGCUCUUUCAGGGUCCGAGUUGUAAUUUGUAGAAGAUGCUUCGGGUGUGGCUCCGGUCUAAGUUCCUUGGAACAGGACGUCAUAGAGGGUGAGAAUCCCGUAUGUGACUGGUUGCCUUCGCCCAUGUGAAGCUCUUUCGACGAGUCGAGUUGUUUGGGAAUGCAGCUCUAAAUGGGUGGUAAAUUUCAUCUAAAGCUAAAUAUUGGCCAGAGACCGAUAGCGCACAAGUAGAGUGAUCGAAAGAUGAAAAGCACUUUGGAAAGAGAGUUAAACAGUACGUGAAAUUGUUGAAAGGGAAGCGCUUGCAACCAGACUUGCACGUCGUCGAUCAUCCUCAGUUCUCUGGGGUGCACUCGGCGGUGUUCAGGCCAGCAUCGGUUUCGGUGGUGGGAUAAAGGCCUUGGGAAUGUGGCUCCUCUCGGGGAGUGUUAUAGCCCUCGGUGCAAUGCCGCCUACUGGGACCGAGGACCGCGCUUCGGCUAGGAUGCUGGCGUAAUGGUUGUAAGCGACCCGUCUUGAAACACGGACCAAGGAGUCUAACAUCUAUGCGAGUGUUUGGGUGUUAAACCCAUACGCGUAAUGAAAGUGAACGGAGGUGAGAACCCUUUAGGGUGCAUCAUCGACCGAUCCUGAUGUCUUCGGAUGGAUUUGAGUAAGAGCAUAGCUGUUGGGACCCGAAAGAUGGUGAACUAUGCCUAAAUAGGGUGAAGCCAGAGGAAACUCUGGUGGAGGCUCGCAGCGGUUCUGACGUGCAAAUCGAUCGUCAAAUUUGGGUAUAGGGGCGAAAGACUAAUCGAACCAUCUAGUAGCUGGUUCCUGCCGAAGUUUCCCUCAGG